UAUGAGUUUGAUCCUGGCUCAGAAUGAACGCUUGCGAUAGGCUUAACACAUGCAAGUUGAACAAAAAGACUAUUUUUUUGUAGCGAACGGGUGCGUACAAUGUAGGAAUUUACCUCUUUAAAAAAGUUAAAUGCUUUGAAAAAACAAGUUGUUGUAAAGAGAUAAGCCUGCAGAAGAUUAGAUAGUUGGUGUGGGAAGGGCGCACCAAGUCAAAGAUCUUUAGCUGGUCUUAGCGGAUGAUCAGCCACACUGGGACUGAGACACGGCCCAGGCUCCCAUGGGAGACAGCAGUGAGGAAUCAUGGACAAUGCACGAAAGUGUGAUCCUGCUAUAUCGCGUGAGUGAUGAAGGGUAUAUUGCUUGUAAAACUCUUUCAGCAAGAACAUGCUUGCAUGUGAAUGGAUAGUGACGUGUCUUGCAAAAGAAGCCCCGGCUAAUAUCUGUGCCAGCAGCCGCGGUAAUACAGAAGGGGCAAGUGUUAUUCGGAAUAAUUGGGCGUAAAUGGCGUGUAGGUUGUGUUUCGUAGCUUUUUGUUAAAUCCCCAUUGUUAAAAUGGGUCACGCGAAAAGAACGGUUACACUGGAGACUGAGAGAGGAAAGGGGAAUUUCUAGUGGAGAAGUUAAAUUCUUAGAUAUUAGAAGGAACACCAAAAGCGAAAGCACCUUUCUGGCUCAGAUCUGACACUGAGGCGCGAAGGCGUGGGGAGCGAA
Molecule: ribosomal RNA, 711 nt
Filed under: uncultured Micromonas
Lineage: Eukaryota; Viridiplantae; Chlorophyta; Mamiellophyceae; Mamiellales
Description: partial Bacterial small subunit ribosomal RNA
Rfam family: Bacterial small subunit ribosomal RNA
Source: RNAcentral